This 253-nucleotide ribosomal RNA is filed under the name uncultured bacterium. RNAcentral's name for it is "partial 16S ribosomal RNA". It matches the Rfam family "Bacterial small subunit ribosomal RNA", at positions 524 to 776 of the family's 1533-position model. The record is from RNAcentral.
UACUGAGGGUGCAAGCGUUAAUCGGAAUUACUGGGCGUAAAGCGAGUGUAGGCGGCUUCGUAAGUCGGAUGUGAAAGCCCUGGGCUUAACCUGGGAAUGCCAUUCGAUACUGCGCGGCUAGAGUUUGAUAGAGGGAAGUGGAAUUCCAGGUGUAGCGGUGAAAUGCGUAGAUAUCUGGAGGAACAUCAGUGGCGAAGGCGGCUUCCUGGAUCAAAACUGACGCUGAGGCUCGAAAGCGUGGGUAGCAAACAGG